RNAcentral lists this ribosomal RNA (1524 nucleotides) under metagenome. RNAcentral's name for it is "bacterial LSU rRNA". It matches the Rfam family "Bacterial large subunit ribosomal RNA", at positions 1421 to 2925 of the family's 2925-position model. The record is from RNAcentral.
GAAAACAGGUUAAUAUUCCUGUACUUGGUGUUACUGCGAAGGGGGGACGGAGAAGGCUAUGUUGGCCGGGCGACGGUUGUCCCGGUUUAAGCGUGUAGGCUGGUUUUCCAGGCAAAUCCGGAAAAUCAAGGCUGAGGCGUGAUGACGAGGCACUACGGUGCUGAAGCAACAAAUGCCCUGCUUCCAGGAAAAGCCUCUAAGCAUCAGGUAACAUCAAAUCGUACCCCAAACCGACACAGGUGGUCAGGUAGAGAAUACCAAGGCGCUUGAGAGAACUCGGGUGAAGGAACUAGGCAAAAUGGUGCCGUAACUUCGGGAGAAGGCACGCUGAUAUGUAGGUGAAGCGACUUGCUCGUGGAGCUGAAAUCAGUCGAAGAUACCAGCUGGCUGCAACUGUUUAUUAAAAACACAGCACUGUGCAAACACGAAAGUGGACGUAUACGGUGUGACGCCUGCCCGGUGCCGGAAGGUUAAUUGAUGGGGUUAGCGCAAGCGAAGCUCUUGAUCGAAGCCCCGGUAAACGGCGGCCGUAACGAUAACUGUCCUAAGGUAGCGAAAUUCCUUGUCGGGUAAGUUCCGACCUGCACGAAUGGCGUAAUGAUGGCCAGGCUGUCUCCACCCGAGACUUAGUGAAAUUGAACUCGCUGUGAAGAUGCAGUGUACCCGCGGCAAGACGGAAAGACCCCGUGAACCAUUACUAUAGCUUGACACUGAACAUUGAGCCUUGAUGUGUAGGAUAGGUGGGAGGCUUUGAAGUGUGGACGCCAGUCUGCAUGGAGCCGACCUUGAAAUACCACCCUUUAAUGUUUGAUGUUCUAACGUUGACCCGUAAUCCGGGUUGCGGACAGUGUCUGGUGGGUAGUUUGACUGGGGCGGUCUCCUCCUAAAGAGUAACGGAGGAGCACGAAGGUUGGCUAAUCCUGGUCGGACAUCAGGAGGUUAGUGCAAUGGCAUAAGCCAGCUUGACUGCGAGCGUGACGGCGCGAGCAGGUGCGAAAGCAGGUCAUAGUGAUCCGGUGGUUCUGAAUGGAAGGGCCAUCGCUCAACGGAUAAAAGGUACUCCGGGGAUAACAGGCUGAUACCGCCCAAGAGUUCAUAUCGACGGCGGUGUUUGGCACCUCGAUGUCGGCUCAUCACAUCCUGGGGCUGAAGUAGGUCCCAAGGGUAUGGCUGUUCGCCAUUUAAAGUGGUACGCGAGCUGGGUUUAGAACGUCGUGAGACAGUUCGGUCCCUAUCUGCCGUGGGCGCUGGAGAACUGAGGGGGGCUGCUCCUAGUACGAGAGGACCGGAGUGGACGCAUCACUGGUGUUCGGGUUGUCAUGCCAAUGGCACUGCCCGGUAGCUAAAUGCGGAAGAGAUAAGUGCUGAAAGCAUCUAAGCACGAAACUUGCCCCGAGAUGAGUUCUCCCUGACUCCUUGAGAGUCCUGAAGGAACGUUGAAGACGACGACGUUGAUAGGCCGGGUGUGUAAGCGCAGCGAUGCGUUGAGCUAACCGGUACUAAUGAACCGUGAGGCUUAACCUC